Molecule: long non-coding RNA, 1130 nt
Filed under: Equus caballus (horse)
Lineage: Eukaryota; Metazoa; Chordata; Mammalia; Perissodactyla; Equidae
Description: lncRNA (ENSECAG00000039485.3)
Source: RNAcentral
GUUUGUUUACUUAUUUAUUUAUUUUUAAAUUGAGAUAUAACUAAGGUAUAACAUUAUAUCAGUUUAAGGUGUACAACAUAGUGAUUUGACGUUUGUACAUAUUGCUAAGUAAUCACCACAAUAAGUCUAGUUAACAUCCUUUAUCAUACAUAGUUACAAAUUCUUUUUUCUUGUGAUGAGAACGUUUAAAACCUACUCUCUUAGCAACUUUAAAAUAUGCAUUACAGUAUUAUUAACUAAAGUCACCAUGCUGUACAUUACAUCCCCAGGACUUAUUUAUUUUGUAACUGGAACUUUGUAACUUUUGAUGACCUUCACCUAUUCCCCCUGAAUUUGUAGUCCGCUUGACAGAAGUGUGGGCAGCCUGGGAACCCAUUGCCACUGGUGUCUGAAGCGGGAGCAGUCCUGUAGGACGGAGCCCUUAACCUGUGGGGUCUGAUGCUAACUCCAGGGUCAAUAAAGGACUUGGAAAUCCCAGUUCAAUUCCACAGGCAAUGUAGACAUCCAAGCACUCAAAAGGAAAGAAUGCCAAGAAAGAGGUAACUGUUCAGAGCACACCAGCAAUUGCUCAGCUCUCAUGAACAACUCUACCCCAAGAAAAUCAGUCAGGCAAGAAGAGGUUUAAGGAGACAGAUUUCAGCUUCACACUUCAGAAAGUUUGGCUUAAAAGUGACCCAUGCCAAUUCUGCUCACAAUCUAUUGGCCAGAGCUAGUCACGUGUCCUGCUAUAUUUAAAGAAGGCUGGGAAAUAGAGUGGCAAGUGAAAAUUUGGUUUGAGAGAGCAUCAUGGAAUUCCUUCCAAGGAUGCAAGAGGAAGAAGAAUCUCUUUCAAUUUCCAGUAGAAUUCAUUGCAGUGAGUUUAUGCCAACAAUUGAUCCCAGCACCUGUGUGCAGGACCUGCUGCUUUUGGAACCCAACUGCCAUGAUGUGAGAAGCCCAAGUCACAUGGAGAAGCUCUACCUAUACUCCCUGCCAACAGCCAACAUCAAUUGCUAGUCAUGGGAGUGAGCCAUCUUGGCCAUCCAGCCCAACUGAGGAUGACUGCAACUGCCUGAGAGAUCCCACACAACUCACAGAAAUGUUCAGUCAACUCACAGAAAUGCGAGAGACAAUAUUAAAUUUAAGUUUUC